GACGGUGCCGGGGAGUUCGCGGCGGACGGGUGAGUAACACGUGGGUAACCUGCCUGUAAGACUGGGAUAACUCCGGGAAACCGGGGCUAAUACCGGAUGCUUGUUUGAACCGCAUGGUUCAAACAUAAAAGGUGGCUUCGGCUACCACUUACAGAUGGACCCGCGGCGCAUUAGCUAGUUGGUGAGGUAAUGGCUCACCAAGGCAACGAUGCGUAGCCGACCUGAGAGGGUGAUCGGCCACACUGGGACUGAGACACGGCCCAGACUCCUACGGGAGGCAGCAGUAGGGAAUCUUCCGCAAUGGACGAAAGUCUGACGGAGCAACGCCGCGUGAGUGAUGAAGGUUUUCGGAUCGUAAAGCUCUGUUGUUAGGGAAGAACAAGUACCGUUCGAAUAGGGCGGUACCUUGACGGUACCUAACCAGAAAGCCACGGCUAACUACGUGCCAGCAGCCGCGGUAAUACGUAGGUGGCAAGCGUUGUCCGGAAUUAUUGGGCGUAAAGGGCUCGCAGGCGGUUCCUUAAGUCUGAUGUGAAAGCCCCCGGCUCAACCGGGGAGGGUCAUUGGAAACUGGGGAACUUGAGUGCAGAAGAGGAGAGUGGAAUUCCACGUGUAGCGGUGAAAUGCGUAGAGAUGUGGAGGAACACCAGUGGCGAAGGCGACUCUCUGGUCUGUAACUGACGCUGAGGAGCGAAAGCGUGGGGAGCGAACAGGAUUAGAUACCCUGGUAGUCCACGCCGUAAACGAUGAGUGCUAAGUGUUAGGGGGUUUCCGCCCCUUAGUGCUGCAGCUAACGCAUUAAGCACUCCGCCUGGGGAGUACGGUCGCAAGACUGAAACUCAAGGAAUUGACGGGGGCCCGCACAAGCGGUGGANCAUGUGGUUUAAUUCGAAGCAACGCGNAGAACCUUACCANGUCUUGACNUCCUNUG
This 931-nucleotide ribosomal RNA is filed under the name Bacillus halotolerans. Its description in RNAcentral is "bacterial SSU rRNA". It matches the Rfam family "Bacterial small subunit ribosomal RNA", at positions 77 to 993 of the family's 1533-position model. The record is from RNAcentral. Lineage: Bacteria; Bacillati; Bacillota; Bacilli; Caryophanales; Bacillaceae.